Suricata suricatta (meerkat) is the source of this 127-nucleotide small nucleolar RNA. The record is from Ensembl. Lineage: Eukaryota; Metazoa; Chordata; Mammalia; Carnivora; Herpestidae.
AUGUUUCUAUUUGACCGACAUGGGACAAUUCUUGUAUGCUAUUUGUUUCACUACAGAUACAAGAGAAAAGUAUCCUUGAGCUUUCUGUCUGAGUAGAGCAGCCAAGAUUGAAUGGGGGAAUAAAAUA